UGGCCACACAGCUGUAGAAGCCCAUGUCUGUCUCCUGUAAGAGAGGACAGAGGACUGGUGAACUGGGAGUGGAGCAAGGGCCUUGGCCAGGAUGCUGCCAGCCACACUGACAGCUUGACACACGUAGUGGCCAGCAUCCCCGCUCUGCACUUCAGUGAUGUUGAGCUGGCCUUUGGGAGAAACUAAGAAGCGCCCUGUAGGCUGAAGGGACUGACUGGGGAAGAGCAGGACCUGGGGACAGAGCAAGGCACCAAGAAUCUAAUGAAAAUGCAGCUGUCUCUGAUGCUAGAGAAGAUCCUGGGAAA
This is a long non-coding RNA of Rhinolophus ferrumequinum (greater horseshoe bat), 305 nucleotides long. RefSeq lists it as uncharacterized. The transcript is spliced from 3 exons. The record is from RefSeq and is a predicted model, not a curated record. NCBI's taxonomy places the organism in Eukaryota, Metazoa, Chordata, Mammalia, Chiroptera, Rhinolophidae.